This 460-nucleotide small RNA is filed under the name Vigna angularis var. angularis. Its description in RNAcentral is "Non-protein coding transcript". Lineage: Eukaryota; Viridiplantae; Streptophyta; Magnoliopsida; Fabales; Fabaceae. The record is from RNAcentral.
CUUUUUUCUUCUCUCUCUAAAAACUCAUCUUCUAAAUAUUGUUCUGCCUUCUCUCUAAAAUACCACCCUGUUGAACCGUUCAAUUUUUGAAUAGGUGGUGCUCAAACCUUCACCGCGUCAAGGGCUGCGUAACGGACCGAACGGGUUCUUGUUCCAACCGGGUGUCUUUGAAUUUUGCUGUGAGGAGCACUAUUUAGAUCAUCUCUGUCAAGUAAACUGUGAAGUUUUCCAGAUGUUGUUGAGGAGGUUCCAUUGGACCAAGAGUUGGAGGAUGCUGAUGAUGCAGUAUAAUAUUUUUAGGAUUUCUAAAUUUAAGUUGGUGUUAUUUUGAAGUACUCUAAACUGUUUAAAUUUUAAGUUUUGUCCUUUUGUGAUGAUUGUAAUAUCAGCUACUGAACUACUAUUCUACCCUAAUUGUUCUCUUUAUUAGAACGUGGACACCUAAGUUAUAUGAUUGUGG